ACGCUGGCGGCGUGCCUAACACAUGCAAGUCGAACGGGGUUGAGCCCUUCGGGACUCAACUUAGUGGCGAACGGGUGAGUAACGCGUGAGAAACCUGCCUUUCAGUGGGGGACAACAGUUGGAAACGACUGCUAAUACCGCAUAAUGUUAUUUGGGGGCAUCCCCGAAUAACCAAAGAUUUAUUGCUGAAAGAUGGUCUCGCGUCUGAUUAGCUAGUUGGUGAGGUAACGGCUCACCAAGGCGACGAUCAGUAGCCGGUCUGAGAGGAUGAACGGCCACAUUGGGACUGAGAUACGGCCCAGACUCCUACGGGAGGCAGCAGUGGGGAAUAUUGGGCAAUGGGGGAAACCCUGACCCAGCAACGCCGCGUGAAGGAAGAAGGCCUUCGGGUUGUAAACUUCUUUUACCAGGGACGAAGAACGUGACGGUACCUGGAGAAAAAGCAACGGCUAACUACGUG
RNAcentral lists this ribosomal RNA (460 nucleotides) under uncultured bacterium. RNAcentral's name for it is "bacterial SSU rRNA". It matches the Rfam family "Bacterial small subunit ribosomal RNA", at positions 33 to 507 of the family's 1533-position model. The record is from RNAcentral.